UCUUCGGCAAUGGGGGCAACCCUGACCGAGCAACGCCGCGUGAGUGAAGAAGGUUUUCGGAUCGUAAAGCUCUGUUGUAAGUCAAGAACGAGUGUGAGAGUGGAAAGUUCACACUGUGACGGUAGCUUACCAGAAAGGGACGGCUAACUACGUGCCAGCAGCCGCGGUAAUACGUAGGUCCCGAGCGUUGUCCGGAUUUAUUGGGCGUAAAGCGAGCGCAGGCGGUUUGAUAAGUCUGAAGUUAAAGGCUGUGGCUCAACCAUAGUUCGCUUUGGAAACUGUCAAACUUGAGUGCAGAAGGGGAGAGUGGAAUUCCAUGUGUAGCGGUGAAAUGCGUAGAUAUAUGGAGGAACACCGGUGGCGAAAGCGGCUCUCUGGUCUGUAACUGACGCUGAGGCUCGAAAGCGUGGGGAGCGAACAGG
RNAcentral lists this ribosomal RNA (422 nucleotides) under uncultured bacterium. Its description in RNAcentral is "bacterial SSU rRNA". It matches the Rfam family "Bacterial small subunit ribosomal RNA", at positions 362 to 776 of the family's 1533-position model. The record is from RNAcentral.